Cydia pomonella (codling moth) is the source of this 4280-nucleotide RNA transcript. It is a transcript of the gene named polyribonucleotide nucleotidyltransferase 1, mitochondrial, with no coding region annotated. The transcript has 14 exons. The record is from RefSeq and is a predicted model, not a curated record. Lineage: Eukaryota; Metazoa; Arthropoda; Insecta; Lepidoptera; Tortricidae.
AAACGUUUUUGAUCUACUUGAACUUUGAAACAAGUUUGAAACGUCAAAAAACAUCUCUUGAAAUUCGGCAGAAAAGGCGAAAAGUUAAAAAUGUUUAGUAUUCUAUAGGAUUUUAGAUCUUAUAAAUAUUUCCGUUUUUUCUGUCUUUAGUUCUAAAGAAAAUUAGACUAAACAGAGCUAAAGGGCGUUCUGUCAAUAUACUGGUGUAUUUGUUAUUAAUGCCCUUCCUUGACCCAUUGCCGAAAUAUUAAAAGAUGCUAUCCAAACACAGGCUUCUAUCUAAAUUAAAAGCAAAGGCAAGUUUCCAUUAUAAUGUUCUCUCAACUCAAGCGUCGGUGGGAAAGAUAGACAUCCCAUUUUCAAAUGAAACUUCACUUAAGCUAUCAACGGGUCAAUAUGCGCGCUUCGCUGACGGUGCGUGUGUGGCUACGCUCGGGAACACCAGUGUGCUGGCAACGGUGGUGUCCAGAGCCAAGCAGAGCAGCAGUUCGUUCCUGCCGCUAGUUGUGGACUAUAGGCAGAAAGCAGCUGCAGCGGGACGGAUACCUACAAACUUCUUGAGGAGAGAACUGGGUCCCACAGAACGCGAAAUCCUCACCUCCCGCCUGAUAGACCGCUCACUCCGGCCUCUCUUCCCAAGCAACUACUUCUAUGACACACAAAUAGUCUGCAACAUGCUAGCGGUGGACUCAACUAAUCCUCCGGAGACGGUAGCUAUCAAUGCUGCUAGUGCUGCGUUGGCCCUGUCAGACGUGCCGUGGAAUGGACCUAUUGGGGCUGUCAGACUAGGCCUAAUAGACAACGAAGUAAUCAUCAACCCCACCCGCAAGGACCUACAGACUUCCCAGCUCAACUUAGUCGUAGCCGCGACCUCACAAAACCUGGUCGUCAUGUUGGAAGGCAGCGCCAAUGACAUUCUCCAGCAGGAUCUGCUUAAGGCCAUCAAAACAGGAACCAAAGAAGCAAUGCACAUAGUCCGCGGCAUCGAGAAACUGCAAAAGGAACACGGAAAGACAAAGAGAGUGUACGACACGCAGUUACCCGUCCCACAGAACGUUGUGGAUGCUGUCAAAACGUUGUCCACUAUGAAGAUUAGAGAAAUUCUAAGUGACUAUUCCCAUGACAAAACCUCCCGCGACAUAGCAAUAUCAGACCUUCGGCAGACAGUCCUCGACCAGCUCCGAGAAGAAGGCGACCCUGGUCAGCUGCAGGAAUGUUUCAACAGUCAUCUUCGGCAGACAUUCCGGGAUAUGAUCUUUGAGACUGACACAAGAUGUGAUGGCAGGCAUCUGGAUGAGCUUAGGAAGAUCAGUUGCCAGGUGGGCCUAUACGAGCCUUUGCACGGUAGCGCGGUGUUCCAGCGCGGGCAAACCCAGGUGCUCUGCACAGUCGCCUUCGAUUCCCCGGAAAGUGCGUUAAAGAUGGACACACUCACUAUGCUCACUAGCGGUAUAAAAGAAAAAAGCUUCUUCCUCCACUACGAGUUCCCGUCGUACGCGACGGGCGAGCUGGGCCGCGGCGGCGCGCCCGGGCGGCGCGAGGCGGGCCACGGCGCGCUGGCCGAGCGCGGCCUGCUGCCCGUCGUGCCGCCGCGGCCCUACGCCGUCCGGCUCACUGCCGAAGUGCUCGAGUCUAAUGGGUCAAGUUCAAUGGCAUCCGUUUGCGGAGGAUCCCUCGCUCUUUUAGACGCGGGCGUCCCAUUGACCAGCCCUGCGGCCGGCGUGGCAAUAGGCCUCGUGACCCGCGCUGACGGCAACUCGCAUGUGGCUGACUACAGGAUACUCACAGAUUUGUUAGGUAUAGAAGACUACAUGGGCGACAUGGACUUCAAAGUGGCCGGCACAAAUAAAGGCAUCACCGCGCUGCAGGCAGACGUGAAGCUGCCGGGCCUGCCGCUCAAGGUCGUCAUGGAGUCCGUACAGAGGGCCUGCGAUGCCAAGAGCGACAUCAUUGCUAUUAUGAACCAGUGCAUCAGUCAACCCAGGCAAGGCCGUAAGGAAAACAUGCCCGUAAUGGAAGAGCUGGAAGUAGAAGUCCACAAACGAGCGAAGCUGCUCGGUCUCGGCGGCGGCAACCUGAAAAAGCUUUACGUCGAAACAGGAGUACAGAUUACCCCAAUAGACGAAACGAAAUACAGCGUGUUCGCGCCCUCCCAAGCCGCGAUGGACGAAGCCCGAGCCAGGAUAGACUCAUGGCUCAGCGCAGAAAGAACACCUGAGUUAGAAUUUGGUGCUAUCUACAAAGCCAAGGUCGUCGAGGUCAAGGACAUCGGGGUUCUGGUGACCUUGUAUCCCGGUAUGGCUCCGGCGUUGGUGCAUAAUUCACAGUUGGAUCAUAGAAAGAUAAUGCACCCAUCCGCAUUAGGCCUCGACGUGGGCUCCGAAAUCCAAGUGAAAUACUUCGGGCGCGACCCCGUGUCGGGGCAGGCGCGGCUCUCCAAGAAGGUGCUCACGUCGCCGCCGCCCGGCGUAGUGCGGAAACUUGAUAAAAGCUAGUGGACUCUAUUGUGUAGUGAAUAGAGGUGAAAGUGGAACUGUACAGUGAUUGGAAUGUUAGUGUGAAAUAGGGAGCGUGCAAGAACUGUAAACAGCAAUGGAGUUGUUUAUUGGAGCAGAGCAUUUGCAAAUGACAAAAAGGUUAAAACUGCGUGUUAAAAACUAUAGUGUGGCCGAUCGAGACUUUUAUUCUUCUUCUCUCGUGUCGAGGUUCCCCUAGACAGUGGAUGCCCAGCAAGCAGCGGUACUGACAGCCCGGACCGUGGCAUCUCUCAGGUCAGAUUCAGAGCACGAGUGCGGGCACGCGGGGCAUCCAGCAGGUGCGCCAUGGUUUGUGGUGCAGAGUCGCAAGCACAUUGGAUAGAGUGGCCACGAAGCACUCCCCAUUCGACCAUGCUCUGUUUACAACGGCCAACCUGAGACCUGAGCCUGUUCAUCGCCUUCCAGAUGCUUUUUAUGCCAGAGACUUUUACGAGUCUUAUAAGUAAGUUGCUGUAAUCAAGGCCGCUUCAAACACUGUCUGUGAAUAUAUAAUAUAAAAAGACAUUGUAUUAUUUAUUGUUACUGUUGUAUAAAUAAUUUAAAUUUAAAAUCCGUGAAAUGUUGUUAUGACAGGUACAGUUAAUUUUAUUGUUCAUUUCAUUGUCUAUUGACAGAAAUUAAAUUCACCUAAAUACCAAAAAAUUGUAAAUAGUUUUUAUCGAGUUAAUUAUUAAAGUUAAAAAAUUUGAUAAUAUGCGUAUUUAUUUGAAAUUUGCAACAUUUUCAGGUAAAGCAAUAAUAAGCACUGAUACUGUUAGUUUUAGUAACCAAGCCAGUAGUAGUAUUUGGUAGUUAUCCCUCCAAUGUCAUUAACCCUUUGACCGCCAAAGACGUCAACUGACGUGCGCAGCGACAGCCCAAUAUCAACCUUCGUGCAUCCUGACAAGGUUCAUGAUGACGCCGCACACGAUAGACGUGUUGAUAAGGUCAACAGUAAACUUGGACUUUUUUUCCAAGUAGGCAUAUUACAAUGCGCUUAUGAACGUCAAAUAAAGCCAGUGCCGGAUUAAGCCAACGCGAGGCCUCUGGCAAAGCUAUCAAAGGGCCCUUGUAUAUUUUCAAUUUUAUCGGUCUAUAGGAAACUGAGCCGACAGUGCAACGAAUCCACGAAUUGCUAUUCCCGCCGAGGCAUAUGUAGUGUUUCUUUUAAGCAUACAAGGAAAAGUUAAAAUAAUCAAGUAUUUAAGCAUCAUUCGAAUCUUAACAUCAAAACCGUCAAAAAAUAUCGUUCCUCUAGAUUUUUUUUUUUAAUUAAACAAAAUAAUAGUAAAAAUGUUGAAAGGGCAAUUUUAAAGUACGCUGUGUUUGCAAACCAGAGGGGUUACCACGAAUCUUUCUUCCAUAUCGUGUAAUAGAGAGGCAGAUAAAGAAAUUUCCAAUUUUGCUACAAUAAGACAAACAUUUCCAAGCAUAUUGGGGAAAAGAGUCUGUGCGGAAAAAGAACAAAUUGCGGGGAUCUUUCUUUUUACACCAUUGAAGGCGUAAUUAAAAUGACAGAGAAAAAAAGCACUUUGUGAACUUCGAUUUUCGUGGCUAUAGGUCUCAUAACUGUCCGGAUCGCUACGCACGGCUGGCCACUGUAGUAGUAUACUAUUUAAGGCCACAAUGCGUUGGUGCGCAGGGCCCGUGGCUAAUCCGCCACUGAAUAAAGUUACGCUUGCUACUGCCUUUAACCUUUUUGGCGCCUAUGACGGAUAUAUCCGCACCGUAGGUCUAACGCCGAAGAUGGAUUAAUCUUCAUAG